RNAcentral lists this transfer RNA (70 nucleotides) under Camelus ferus (Wild Bactrian camel). It matches the Rfam family "tRNA". Rfam says of the family: Transfer RNA (tRNA) molecules are approximately 80 nucleotides in length. Their secondary structure includes four short double-helical elements and three loops (D, anti-codon, and T loops). Further hydrogen bonds mediate the characteristic L-shaped molecular structure. tRNAs have two regions of fundamental functional importance: the anti-codon, which is responsible for specific mRNA codon recognition, and the 3' end, to which the tRNAs corresponding amino acid is attached (by aminoacyl-tRNA synthetases). tRNAs cope with the degeneracy of the genetic code in two manners: having more than one tRNA (with a specific anti-codon) for a particular amino acid; and 'wobble' base-pairing, i.e. permitting non-standard base-pairing at the 3rd anti-codon position. The record is from Rfam by way of RNAcentral. Lineage: Eukaryota; Metazoa; Chordata; Mammalia; Artiodactyla; Camelidae.
GAGGGUAUGGCUCAGUGGUAGAGUGUGUGCUGCAUGCAUGAGAUCCUGGGUUCAGUCCCCAGUACCUCCA